This 468-nucleotide ribosomal RNA is filed under the name uncultured bacterium. RNAcentral describes it as "partial 16S ribosomal RNA". It matches the Rfam family "Bacterial small subunit ribosomal RNA", at positions 28 to 507 of the family's 1533-position model. The record is from RNAcentral.
GACGAACGCUGGCGGCGUGCUUAACACAUGCAAGUCGAACGGAAAGGCCCUGCUUUUGUGGGGUGCUCGAGUGGCGAACGGGUGAGUAACACGUGAGUAACCUGCCCUUGACUUUGGGAUAACUUCAGGAAACUGGGGCUAAUACCGGAUAGGAGCUCCUGCUGCAUGGUGGGGGUUGGAAAGUUUCGGCGGUUGGGGAUGGACUCGCGGCUUAUCAGCUUGUUGGUGGGGUAGUGGCUUACCAAGGCUUUGACGGGUAGCCGGCAUGGGAGGGUGACCGGCCACAAUGGUACUGAGAUACGGCGCAGACUGCUACAGGAGGCAGCAGUGGGGAAUAUUGCACAAUGGGCGGAAGCCUGAUGCAGCGGCGCCGCGUGCGGGAUGACGGCCUUCGGGUUGUGAACCGCUUUCGCCUGUGACGAAGCGUGAGUGACGGUAAUGGGUGAAGAAGCACCGGCUAACUACGUG